GCUUAACACAUGCAAGUCGAACGAGACCUUCGGGUCUAGUGGCGCACGGGUGCGUAACGCGUGGGAAUCUGCCCUCUGGUACGGAAUAACUCAGGGAAACUUGAGCUAAUACCGUAUAAUGACUUCGGUCCAAAGAUUUAUCGCCUGAGGAUGAGCCCGCGUAGGAUUAGCUUGUUGGUGAGGUAAAAGCUCACCAAGGCGACGAUCCUUAGCUGGUCUGAGAGGAUGAUCAGCCACACUGGGACUGAGACACGGCCCAGACUCCUACGGGAGGCAGCAGUGGGGAAUAUUGGACAAUGGGCGAAAGCCUGAUCCAGCAAUGCCGCGUGAGUGAUGAAGGCCUUAGGGUUGUAAAGCUCUUUUACCCGGGAUGAUAAUGACAGUACCGGGAGAAUAAGCCCCGGCUAACUCCGUGCCAGCAGCCGCGGUAAUAC
RNAcentral lists this ribosomal RNA (434 nucleotides) under uncultured Alphaproteobacteria bacterium. RNAcentral describes it as "bacterial SSU rRNA". It matches the Rfam family "Bacterial small subunit ribosomal RNA", at positions 46 to 526 of the family's 1533-position model. The record is from RNAcentral. Lineage: Bacteria; Pseudomonadati; Pseudomonadota; Alphaproteobacteria.